GCCUGUUGAAUUUGCAAUUCUUCUCUUCUUGUUCCCCAUGAAGAUGACCAAAGAAACUAUAUCUCUGCACUCCCUGAACGAGACAUUAAACAGGUCACAAAGGGUUGUGUGUGUUAGUACUACAAGGAGGAACAGGGCAAGGCUCCUUUGUGCUGGGAAGGGGCUAUAGGAAGAUGGGGUGAGGGAAGAGAUGAACAGCUACUGGAGUGGUGGGUCUGCAUGAUAGAUGAGUCUGUACUUGUUAAUUCUUUAUGGGAAAUAGAGAGGGGAUCAAAAUGAAUGUAGGGGGUGACGGGUCUCAGAUCACAAGGAGUCUCUGUGUUUCUCCUUUCUCUCAAAACAACCAACCACCUGUUUUGUGAACAACCAUUUGCCCGGUUCGCAGCCAUUUACCCCUGUUACCAGAUGCAUGAGUGCUUCGCCAUCAGCCUGAAUGCAGCUGCUUGAUCCCCAGUCGUAAACUAACUCUUUUUUAAAAGUUUGAGAAUGGGCCAGCUGGGAAUUCUAAUCUAUCCAUGUUGAACAUGUUCGUGUUGUGAUAUGGUCCAGUUCUGAGCAAGUGUUUUUAGGUGAGCCCAGGACUGGUGAGCUCAGAACCCAGUGAAUGUAAAAGAGAAGGACGGGAGUGAGGGAGCCCACGGAAGAAACUUAACUUCAUGUUGCCGGGUCUCACACAAUCAUCUUAUUUAAUGUGCAGACGGUGUCAUUGAAAUAGUUCAUAUUGCAAUUAGAAGGGAAGGAAAAACAUGGUUGAAAAUGCUGCUCUAGUUACUCAAGAUGGAGAAUACAUAGCCCCUUUUCCUGAAAAGCACAUAUAUGGGAGUUCCAGGUCUGACAAUUGUGCAAACAUUAUCUAACAGGAGAGGCUUGAAUAUGUUUAAAGUUGGUGUCUGCUCAAAUAAAUGUUGUAGUAAAAGUGGCUGCUGUAAAGCUGGGAUGUACUCACUGCUGCUGGGAUGUACUCACUGGCUGGAAGAGAGAGAGCAAUUCUAAAAUAGCCUUUUUGUGCUGCAGCUGCUUGGUUCUGCCAUGCUUAAAGAACCACCUCUAGACUUGCACUAAGGUGGCAGGAGCGUUGAGAGCCAUUGAAUGACGCUGCAAACCCUGCAUAUGAUAGUACCCACGUGAAACCAGGGUGUGUAGAGGUAGUGCAGCCCGAGCAUUAGCACCUAGAGGGGAGUUUGUAGGGACUGGGAAGUCACCAGGCUGAGGAGGAAAGGAAGAGGCUGGGUUUAAGUAUUGUAGUACUACUAGAAGAUUUGCUUUGCAUUGCUGGGACUCUUAACUCAAUUUUUGUGUGGCAGAAAAUAAAAUGAAAAUGUCCAUGCUUCAUUGAAAUCAUUGGGCUAGGGAGGAGGGGUUCAGGGUGCUGGCUGUCCCAGGAAGAGAGGCUGACCUUUGCCUAUUCUCACUGCAGCAGCUUGAGGCCAGGUGAGAAACGCCCCUUCACGGCUGCUGUAGCUCCAGCAGGCAGAGCGGGAGGAGGGUGCAUGUCCCCUGGCUGGGGCAGGUCCAGGUUCAUCUGCCCCUGAGCUCCCCAGCCAGAGUGAGGAAUGCAGCAACCUGGGCACUUUCCCUUGGCUCCCUGUAAUGUUCCUAUACAAAUGGGGUGGGAGAUUCAGCCUUCCCACCCUCUUUAAAGGGUGCAUGAGGGGUGGGAGACUCAGGGCUGGUGCAGUCCCAGGCAAAGGGGCAUCCCACAGUCAACCCCUUUCACCUGCCUGGUGAUUGUCUCUCCUCUGAAGGGGUUUAGGAGAAGCAAUCCCAGUCCAGGCACAUCCCAUUGUCCUGGCACAACCAACCCCUGCCCUUGCUUUAAGUUACGAUAAGAGGAAGCUGCCUGCCGAACGUGGUGGGCCUAACUCCUGCCAUUUAGGAGUUCUUGAACAGACAGGCACACACACAUAUAGGCCAACUCAAUAUAAAGUAGAUUUAAAUAUUAAGUAGUGGUGGAUUUUAUACAGCGCUGACUUACGUGUCAUGUAGGAUUAAUUUGGGUCCUCAAAUGAAACCCCCAAGAUUAGACUGUACUUGAUAGGUCACGAAUAGCAGGUAUAGAAGCUCUCCUAGUAAGAAUUAGGGUGCAUUAAUUAUCUGAUGCAUUAAUUCAGAUAGCCUUGACAGCCUGUGAAGAAGACUAUGCGAUGGCUUCUAAAGGCACCCAGACUACAUCAAGCAACUGAAGCUCAACUGGCAAAUAAUUGCAAAAGGAGUCAGGAGGACUUCUAAGUAAAAUGGAGAAAUCUUAAAUUGGAUCUCAAGGUGGAAAACAGGCUGCAGACCUUGGAGUCUCAGUUCAAAGAGCUGAACUCCUCCAUGGAGAAACUGACCCAAAAGCUGCAGUUCCAGGGUGAAACCCUGGAGAAGCAGGUGGAUCAGGAUGAGAUGUGGACAUCCUUGCUGGAGGACAGGUAUGCCACAAAAGAAAAAGAACCAGCUUAGUUUUCACUAUGCAUCAGUUGGGACUUGGGAGACUAGAGAAUGGAGAAAUCUGUAACAUUCUACACAUGCCAGUGACAGUGAAUAGAAUCUAUAUUACACGUCUACAUUGCAUCUCUCUUGUGCAAAAGCCUAUGCAAAUGAAGCACAGAUUAGCAUAUUGCUGUGUUUCAU
This is a non-coding RNA of Pelodiscus sinensis (Chinese soft-shelled turtle), 2613 nucleotides long. NCBI's taxonomy places the organism in Eukaryota, Metazoa, Chordata, Testudines, Trionychidae. The record is from RefSeq and is a predicted model, not a curated record.